Molecule: unclassified non-coding RNA, 391 nt
Filed under: soil metagenome
Description: partial contains 5.8S ribosomal RNA, internal transcribed spacer 2, and large subunit ribosomal RNA
Rfam family: 5.8S ribosomal RNA (bases 1-122)
Source: RNAcentral
GAUGAAGAACGUAGCGAAAUGCGAUACUUGGUGUGAAUUGCAGAAUCCCGUGAACCAUCGAGUCUUUGAACGCAAGUUGCGCCCGAAGCCAUUAGGCCGAGGGCACGCCUGCCUGGGCAUCACACGUCGUUGCCCCCCCAUCUACUCCUUCGGGAUUGCGGGGGGCGGAUGAUGGCCUCCCGUGCGCCUCGUCGCGCGGUUGGCAUAAAUGCCAAGUCCUCGGCGACGCACGCCACGACAAUCGGUGGUUGCGAAACCUCGGUUGCCCGUCGUGUGCGGUCGUCGCGCAUCGAGGGCUCGAAAAAAUUGCCGAGUUCCGGCUCGGCUUUCAACGCGACCCCAGGUCAGGCGGGGUUACCCGCUGAAUUUAAGCAUAUCAAUAAGCGGAGGA